AGUGUUGUUUACAUGUGCGUGUUGGAGUGUGCGUCUGUGAGAGAGAGAGAGAAACUCCUGAAUUAAUUAUCUCUCACAACCCUUUCUUGUUUAUCUUCAUAAUUAUCUUCUAGUGAAAAUUCUCCUGAAAGCAGAAAAGUGAAACCCCCCUCUCUCCUGCGUUUAGAUUUGCUAAGCUCCUGAGUCGCUUUCCUGCGUCUGACUUUCAUAUGGCCAUGGGGACAAUGACCCAUCUUUUCUAUUUGCAUCACAAAUAUAAAACUCUCUCUCCUGCAACUCCCUUUCCUUCUUCUCCUGCCAGGAAAAUAUGGAUUAGGGUUUUGAAGAACGCCUCUAAUUACUAAGAUUUUAGGGUUUCGGUAUCUUCCAUUAUUCUGUACACUAUUUGUGGAUCCUAUAUUCUGCAGACGAAGAUACUACUACUUACUGCUUGGAAGGUUCAUAACUAAUGUUGAAGUUGCUUUCAUUGAUUUGGAGUGUGAAACUGGUGCACAGUACUACCAGUACUACUGCAGUUGCAUGGUGGGGUUUACUUGAUUUAUGGAUACAAAUUUACAAUGCUAUAUCCGCUAGGUAUAAAAAUUAUAUGGUGAAUAUUGAAGAAAUGGGGAGAGAGAGCUUUCUUCAGUCCACUCAUGGAUAGAAAUUGAAAGGGUUGUUGAAGUAGCUGCCGACUCAUUCACUCAAGCACUCAGUAGAGAUUAAAGGAGUGUAAACGCAGACAAUUUGCUACUGUGAUUGUGUGAAUGAAGCGGGAGAUAUUUUACAUCCCUCUUGCUCUGCGCUUGGACUGAAGGGAGCUCCUCCUUUCCAUUCUCUCCACUUUUCUCCAUCUCUCAGUUAAGGUUUAGGAGCACUAAACUAAGUUAGGUGCCAAAACUUAGUUACUACUAAUUAGUUUCAUAUGCUUAUAUAUCAGUUAGAGAAGAGUUAAUAGUAUCAUCAUCAUCAUUCUUUCCCAUCUGUUACAUGCUUAAGUUGACUGAUGGUUAGCAUUUGGUUUUCUCUCGCAAGAAGUAAUGUGUAGUUCUCUUACUGAAACGUGUUGUUUAGCAACACAAGUUAUGAAUGUAUAUAUGUUUAGAUUCACAGUCUAGUAACAUAAGUUAAGAAAUAUAUGUUUAGAUUCACAAUCUAGCAACAUAAGCCAUCGCAUAUAUGCACCCCUCAUAAGCAUUUGAUGAAUCAAUUCGCUUGUUGUAAAAGCAAAAAAGCCUUUUCUGUAUUUCAUGGGUUACUAGUUACGAGUAGGUGUACUCCAGCUAGUACCAAUGACCAUGCAUAUGAAGAAGGGGCCUACGUCAAGUGCCUUCUCUUGUCCACGGGGUUGAUCACAGCUCUCACAUUGUCCUCCUCUAAUAAUUUUACUUCAUUUCCUCUACUUUUUUCACCCGACAAGUAAUCUUGGUCAGGUGCUUUUAUCUCUAUUUACUUUCCCAUCUUUUUAAAUAAUGUUCAGUAACUUUUCCCUUUUCCCCCACUC
Molecule: long non-coding RNA, 1483 nt
Organism: Pyrus x bretschneideri (Chinese white pear)
Lineage: Eukaryota; Viridiplantae; Streptophyta; Magnoliopsida; Rosales; Rosaceae
Exons: 2
Source: RefSeq, a predicted model, not a curated record